AGCUGAUUCAUCUAUCUCUUGAGAUGCAUUAAAACUUUGCUGCAGAAGGAUCUGAGUGUGUGUCCUGUGUUUGCGUCCCCGCCGGCGAGACUCCUUAUCCCAGACCACAUAUGGUGCUGAAACCUGGGACUUCAACAUCGCUGGCACUGAGGAGACCCCCUGGAGACAGAGCAGAUUAAGAACGGCAGUGGGUAAGUUCGCUGGUGACAGAGAGGUUAUUACAUCAUCCGCAUGAGAUAGAUUCAGCUGAAGAAUGCUUCCCACAGAGACCUACAGGAGAUCUCCAAGUUUCCCAAGACAGAUCUGGGAUGUGCUCCUAAGCAAACCAUUACAGGCAUGGUUUUUGCUAUCCACACUAUGGAGAUAUCCUCUGCUUGUGUUCUGCUUCUUUGUUAUAAUUAAUACAGGUCUAUCUCUAAACGAGGCCUGCUGCCACAGCUCCACCUGAGACAGCACCAUCUACUGAGACCUACAGAGGAAAGCUGCCUUACUCCAAAAAUCUCAUCUGACUGAAGGUUCCCAAGAAAAGUAUUGAAUCCUAUCAAAGACAGUCCUGGGACCUUUGAGCUACAGAUGGACUCUUUUUUUCUAAAGCCAAAUGGCUGUUGAAUUUUGGGGAAAGUUAUAUGAUAGUAAGGAAAGCAUAAUGUCUAUAUAAAUUAAUUGAUUGCUGUUCAAAAAUGGAUGUUUUUUUCCCCAAGUUGUACUACCCAUGAAACAACUAACUGAUUGUACAAUCUUUUGCCUUCUCAACUCAAUCUCUUGCUUUGUCAACUCUUACCCUUAAUUCUCCUUACUACUCGGGCAUUGUUCUGCUAUUUCUCUAUUUUCUUCUGAUAUUUCCAUCCACUCUAAAUUUUCACAAUUAAUGACACAGUCAUAUCAGUAACCCCCCCCCCAUUUUUUCUAAUAAAAAAAGGAAGAAUUGUGGGGGAAU
Molecule: long non-coding RNA, 937 nt
Organism: Mus musculus (house mouse)
Lineage: Eukaryota; Metazoa; Chordata; Mammalia; Rodentia; Muridae
Product: predicted gene, 41538
Exons: 3
Source: RefSeq, a predicted model, not a curated record